Non-coding RNA from Solanum tuberosum (potato), 102 nucleotides. Lineage: Eukaryota; Viridiplantae; Streptophyta; Magnoliopsida; Solanales; Solanaceae. The record is from Rfam.
AACUAAUUGAGAUGUUGGUGUGGUUCAAUUAGAUAACAAUCUCCACAUAAGAUUAUAGAGUUUGUUAUUUGAUUGAGCCGUGCCAAUAUCACAUGUAAGGAA